GAUGAACGCUAGCUACAGGCUUAACACAUGCAAGUCGAGGGGUCUGCUUCGGCAGACGACCGGCGCACGGGUGAGUAACGCGUAUCCAACCUUCCCGUUACUCAGGGAUAGCCUUCCGAAAGGGAGAUUAAUACCUGAUGGUGUUCAAAUUCCGCAUGUUAUUUGAACUAAAGAUUUAUCGGUAACGGAUGGGGAUGCGUGACAUUAGGUAGAUGGCGGGGUAACGGCCCACCAUGCCUACGAUGUCUAGGGGUUCUGAGAGGAAGGUCCCCCACACUGGAACUGAGACACGGUCCAGACUCCUACGGGAGGCAGCAGUGAGGAAUAUUGGUCAAUGGGCGAGAGCCUGAACCAGCCAAGUAGCGUGAAGGAAGACUGCCCUAUGGGUUGUAAACUUCUUUUGUAAGGGAGCAAUAAGUCUUACGUGUAGGAUGAUGAGAGUACCUUACGAAUAAGCAUCGGCUAACUCCGUG
RNAcentral lists this ribosomal RNA (473 nucleotides) under uncultured bacterium. RNAcentral's name for it is "bacterial SSU rRNA". It matches the Rfam family "Bacterial small subunit ribosomal RNA", at positions 28 to 507 of the family's 1533-position model. The record is from RNAcentral.